Molecule: ribosomal RNA, 292 nt
Filed under: uncultured bacterium
Lineage: Bacteria
Description: partial 16S ribosomal RNA
Rfam family: Bacterial small subunit ribosomal RNA
Source: RNAcentral
GUGUCAGCAGCCGCGGUAAUACAGAGGGUGCGAGCGUUAAUCGGAAUUACUGGGCGUAAAGCGCACGUAGGCGGCUUCGUAAGUCGGAUGUGAAAUCCCCGGGCUCAACCUGGGAACUGCAUUCGAGACUGCGGAGCUCGAGUAUGGAAGAGGAAGGCGGAAUUCCAGGUGUAGCGGUGAAAUGCGUAGAUAUCUGGAGGAACAUCAGUGGCGAAGGCGGCCUUCUGGUCCAAUACUGACGCUCAGGUGCGAAAGCGUGGGGAGCAAACAGGAUUAGAAACCCCCGUAGUCC